CUGGCGGGCGCCUAAACAUGCAAGUCGAACGAGAAAGUGGAGCAAUCCAUGAGUACAGUGGCGUACGGGUGAGUAACACGUGGGUAAUCUACCCUUUGGUGGGGAAUAACUCUGGGAAACCGGAGCUAAUACCGCAUAAUCCCGAGAGGGAAAAGCAGCAAUGCGCCGAAGGAGGAGCCCGCGGCCGAUUAGCCAGUUGGUAGGGUAAUGGCCUACCAAAGCAAAGAUCGGUAGCCGGCCUGAGAGGGCACACGGCCACACUGGCACUGAAACACGGGCCAGACUCCUACGGGAGGCAGCAGUGGGGAAUCUUGCACAAUGGGGGAAACCCUGAUGCAGCGACGCCGCGUGAGCGAUGAAGCCCUUCGGGGUGUAAAGCUCUUUCGGCAGGGAAGAUUAUGACGGUACCUGCAGAAGCAGCUGCGGCUAACUACGUGCCAGCAGCCGCGGUAAUACGUAGGCAGCAAGCGUUGUUCGGAGUUACUGGGCGUAAAGGGUGUGUAGGCGGCUUUUUAAGUUUGGUGUGAAAUCUCCCGGCUCAACCGGGAGGGUGCGCCGAAUACUGA
This 566-nucleotide ribosomal RNA is filed under the name uncultured bacterium. RNAcentral's name for it is "bacterial SSU rRNA". It matches the Rfam family "Bacterial small subunit ribosomal RNA", at positions 36 to 636 of the family's 1533-position model. The record is from RNAcentral.